GAUGAACGCUGGCGGCGUGCCUAAUACAUGCAAGUCGAGCGAACGGACCAGAAGCUUUCUUUUCUUAUGUUUGCCGCGUACGUGUGCGUAACACGUGGAUAACCUACCUUUUAUACUUGGAUUACUUCGGGAAACCGGUGCUUAUACCGGCUAAUUUUUUGUUCCGCAUUGUUUUAAAGUUUAAGACGGUUUUGCUUUCUCUUAUUGAUUGUUCCGCGCUGCAUUUUCUAGUUGGUAAGGUAACGGCUUACCAAGGCAACGAUGCAUAGCCGACCUGAGAGGGUGAUCGGCCACACUGGAACUGAGACACGGUCCAGACUCCUACGGGAGGCAGCAGUAGGGAAUCUUACGCAAUGGGCGAAAGCCUGACGGAGCAACGCCGCGUGAGUGAUGAAGGUCUUCGGAUCGUAAAACUCUGUUAUUAGGGAAGAACAUAUGUGUAAGUAACUGUGCACAUCUUGACGGUACCUAAUCAGAAAGCCACGGCUAACUACGUG
This 497-nucleotide ribosomal RNA is filed under the name uncultured bacterium. RNAcentral describes it as "partial 16S ribosomal RNA". It matches the Rfam family "Bacterial small subunit ribosomal RNA", at positions 28 to 507 of the family's 1533-position model. The record is from RNAcentral.